CGGCGGACGGGUGAGUAACACGUGGAUAACCUACCUAUAAGACUGGGAUAACUUCGGGAAACCGGGGCUAAUACCGGAUAAUAUUUUAAACCGCAUGGUUCAAAAGUGAAAGACGGUCUUGCUGUCACUUAUAGAUGGAUCCGCGCUGCAUUAGCUAGUUGGUAAGGUAACGGCUUACCAAGGCAACGAUGCAUAGCCGACCUGAGAGGGUGAUCGGCCACACUGGAACUGAGACACGGUCCAG
Molecule: ribosomal RNA, 244 nt
Filed under: uncultured Staphylococcus sp.
Lineage: Bacteria; Bacillati; Bacillota; Bacilli; Caryophanales; Staphylococcaceae
Description: partial 16S ribosomal RNA
Rfam family: Bacterial small subunit ribosomal RNA
Source: RNAcentral